Molecule: ribosomal RNA, 500 nt
Filed under: uncultured bacterium
Lineage: Bacteria
Description: partial 16S ribosomal RNA
Rfam family: Bacterial small subunit ribosomal RNA
Source: RNAcentral
AUUGAACGCUGGCGGAAUGCUUUACACAUGCAAGUCGAACGGCAGCACGGACUUCGGUCUGGUGGCGAGUGGCGAACGGGUGAGUAACAUAUCGGAACGUAUCCAAUAAUGGGGGAUAACUAAUCGAAAGGUUGGCUAAUACCGCAUACGCCCUACGGGGGAAAGCAGGGGAUCUUCGGACCUUGCGUUAAUGGAGCGGCUGAUAUCUGAUUAGCUAGUUGGUGAGGUAAAGGCUCACCAAGGCGACGAUCAGUAGCUGGUCUGAGAGGACGACCAGCCAAACUGGAACGGGGACACGGUCCAGACUCCUACGGGAGGCAGCAGUGGGGAAUUUUGGAAAAUGGGCGCAAGCCUGAUCCAGCCAUUCCGCGUGAGUGAAGAAGGCCUUCGGGUUGUAAAGCUCUUUCGCAAGGGAAGAAAACUUACUUUCUAAUAAAGAGUGAGGUUGACGGUACCUUGAUAAGAAGCACCGGCUAACUACGUGCCAGCCGCCGCGGUAA